This 894-nucleotide ribosomal RNA is filed under the name uncultured bacterium. RNAcentral's name for it is "bacterial SSU rRNA". It matches the Rfam family "Bacterial small subunit ribosomal RNA", at positions 8 to 916 of the family's 1533-position model. The record is from RNAcentral.
AGAGUUUGAUCAUGGCUCAGGACGAACGCUGGCGGCGUGCUUAACACAUGCAAGUCGAACGGUGAUCCCGCUUCGGUGGGGGAUCAGUGGCGAACGGGUGAGUAACACGUGAGCAACCUGCCCCUGACUCUGGGAUAACUCCGGGAAACCGGGGCUAAUACCGGAUAUGACGUGCCUGCGCAUGCGGGUGUGUGGAAAGAUUUUUCGGUUGGGGAUGGGCUCGCGGCCUAUCAGCUUGUUGGUGGGGUGAUGGCCUACCAAGGCGACGACGGGUAGCCGGCCUGAGAGGGCGACCGGCCACACUGGGACUGAGACACGGCCCAGACUCCUACGGGAGGCAGCAGUGGGGAAUAUUGCACAAUGGGCGCAAGCCUGAUGCAGCGACGCCGCGUGAGGGAUGAAGGCCUUCGGGUUGUAAACCUCUUUCAGCGCCGAAGAAGCGAAAGUGACGGUAGGCGCAGAAGAAGCACCGGCUAACUACGUGCCAGCAGCCGCGGUAAUACGUAGGGUGCAAGCGUUGUCCGGAAUUAUUGGGCGUAAAGAGCUCGUGGGCGGUUUGUCGCGUCUGCUGUGAAAACUCGGGGCUUAACUCCGGGCUUGCAGUGGGUACGGGCAGACUAGAGUGCGGUAGGGGAGACUGGAAUUCCUGGUGUAGCGGUGAAAUGCGCAGAUAUCACGAGGAACACCGGUGGCGAAGGCGGGUCUCUGGGCCGUAACUGACGCUGAGGAGCGAAAGCGUGGGGAGCGAACAGGAUUAGAUACCCUGGUAGUCCACGCCGUAAACGUUGGGCGCUAGGUGUGGGGCUCUUUCCACGAGUUCCGUGCCGCAGCUAACGCAUUAAGCGCCCCGCCUGGGGAGUACGGCGCAAGGCUAAAACUCAAAUGAAUUGACGG